Molecule: unclassified non-coding RNA, 283 nt
Filed under: plant metagenome
Description: partial contains small subunit ribosomal RNA, internal transcribed spacer 1, and 5.8S ribosomal RNA
Source: RNAcentral
UUUCCGUAGGUGAACCUGCGGAAGGAUCAUUAUUGUAUAACCGAGGUGCGAGGGCUGUCGCUGACCCGACAGGUCGUGCACGCCCGAGUGCCCUCACACACAUCCAUCUCACCCCUAUGUGCACCACCGCGUGGGUCCCCCUUUGGCUUGUUCGGAGGGGGGCUUACGUUUUCACACAAACUUUGUAUGCAGUGUAGAAUGUAUUUUUUGUUUUUGCGAUCACGCAAUCAAUACAACUUUCAACAACGGAGCGAGGGGCUCUCGCAUCGAGGAAGAACGCAGC